GGCUAGGUAGCUCAGCCCGGUAGAGCGCUGCCCUGAAAAGGCAGGCGUCGGCGGUUCAAAUCCGUCCCUAGCCACCA
This 77-nucleotide transfer RNA is filed under the name Bryobacterales bacterium. RNAcentral's name for it is "tRNA-Phe". It matches the Rfam family "tRNA". Rfam says of the family: Transfer RNA (tRNA) molecules are approximately 80 nucleotides in length. The record is from RNAcentral. Lineage: Bacteria; Pseudomonadati; Acidobacteriota; Terriglobia; Bryobacterales.